CUGUCGUCAGCUCGUGUCGUGAGAUGUUGGGUUAAGUCCCGUAACGAGCGCAACCCUUGUCCUUAGUUACCAGCACGUUAUGGUGGGCACUCUAAGGAGACUGCCGGUGACAAACCGGAGGAAGGUGGGGAUGACGUCAAGUCAUCAUGGCCCUUACGGCCUGGGCUACACACGUGCUACAAUGGUCGGUACAAAGGGUUGCCAAGCCGCGAGGUGGAGCUAAUCCCAUAAAACCGAUCGUAGUCCGGAUCGCAGUCUGCAACUCGACUGCGUGAAGUCGGAAUCGCUAGUAAUCGUGAAUCAGAAUGUCACGGUGAAUACGUUCCCGGGCCUU
Molecule: ribosomal RNA, 334 nt
Filed under: uncultured Pseudomonas sp.
Lineage: Bacteria; Pseudomonadati; Pseudomonadota; Gammaproteobacteria; Pseudomonadales; Pseudomonadaceae
Description: bacterial SSU rRNA
Rfam family: Bacterial small subunit ribosomal RNA
Source: RNAcentral